This 445-nucleotide ribosomal RNA is filed under the name uncultured bacterium. RNAcentral's name for it is "SSU rRNA". It matches the Rfam family "Bacterial small subunit ribosomal RNA", at positions 26 to 518 of the family's 1533-position model. The record is from RNAcentral.
AGAACGAACGCUGGCGGCAUGCCUAACACAUGCAAGUCGAACGAGACCUUCGGGUCUAGUGGCGCACGGGUGCGUAACGCGUGGGAAUCUGCCCUUAGGUUCGGAAUAACUCAGGGAAACUUGAGCUAAUACCGGAUAAUGACGUAAGUCCAAAGAUUUAUCGCCUAGGGAUGAGCCCGCGUAGGAUUAGCUAGUUGGUGGGGUAAAAGCCUACCAAGGCGACGAUCCUUAGCUGGUCUGAGAGGAUGAUCAGCCACACUGGGACUGAGACACGGCCCAGACUCCUACGGGAGGCAGCAGUGGGGAAUAUUGGACAAUGGGCGAAAGCCUGAUCCAGCAAUGCCGCGUGAGUGAUGAAGGCCUUAGGGUUGUAAAGCUCUUUUACCCGGGAUGAUAAUGACAGUACCGGAGAAUAAGCUCCGGCUAACUCCGUGCCAGCAGCCGC